CAGCCGCCACGGUAAUACGUAGGGUGCGAGCGUUAAUCGGAAUUACUGGGCGUAAAGCGUGCGCAGGCGGUCGUGUAAGACAGGUGUGAAAUCCCCGGGCUUAACCUGGGAACUGCGCUUGUGACUGCACAGCUAGAGUAUGGCAGAGGGGGGUGGAAUUCCACGUGUAGCAGUGAAAUGCGUAGAGAUGUGGAGGAACACCGAUGGCGAAGGCAGCCCCCUGGGCCAAUACUGACGCUCAUGCACGAAAGCGUGGGGAGCAAACAGGAUUAGAUACCCCUGUAGUCCCUGUCUCUUAUAC
Molecule: ribosomal RNA, 301 nt
Filed under: uncultured bacterium
Lineage: Bacteria
Description: partial 16S ribosomal RNA
Rfam family: Bacterial small subunit ribosomal RNA
Source: RNAcentral